UAUCCCUGACCUGGGUAGAGUGGCAGUUGGCUGGUGGUACCCAUCUCAUAUCAGCCAGGGACAAAGCUUACCCAGCCUGGGUUUGGGUCAGUGCUUAUGCCUGGUUCAUGCCGUGGAUCCAUGG
RNAcentral lists this small nucleolar RNA (124 nucleotides) under Tupaia belangeri chinensis (Chinese tree shrew). RNAcentral describes it as "Tupaia chinensis (Chinese tree shrew) Small nucleolar RNA SNORA48". It matches the Rfam family "Small nucleolar RNA SNORA48". From Rfam's summary of the family: The snoRNA ACA 48 has been identified to guide pseudouridylation of the residue U3797 in the 28S rRNA subunit. Its host gene EIF4A1 (eukaryotic translation initiation factor 4A1) is shared with U67 and snoRNA mgU6-77 Lineage: Eukaryota; Metazoa; Chordata; Mammalia; Scandentia; Tupaiidae. The record is from Rfam by way of RNAcentral.